CAGUAGCCGCGGUAAUACGGAGGGUGCAAGCGUUAAUCGGAAUUACUGGGCGUAAAGCGUGCGUAGGUGGUGGUUUAAGUCCGUUGUGAAAGCCCUGGGCUCAACCUGGGAAUUGCAGUGGAUACUGGGUCACUAGAGUGUGGUAGAGGAUAGUGGAAUUUCCGGUGUAGCAGUGAAAUGCGUAGAGAUCGGAAGGAACAUCUGUGGCGAAGGCGACUAUCUGGGCCAACACUGACACUGAGGCACGAAAGCGUGGGGAGCAAACAGGAUUAGAUACCCCGGUAGUCCCUGUCUCUUAUAC
RNAcentral lists this ribosomal RNA (301 nucleotides) under uncultured bacterium. RNAcentral's name for it is "partial 16S ribosomal RNA". It matches the Rfam family "Bacterial small subunit ribosomal RNA", at positions 509 to 807 of the family's 1533-position model. The record is from RNAcentral.